Molecule: non-coding RNA, 124 nt
Organism: Glycine max (soybean)
Lineage: Eukaryota; Viridiplantae; Streptophyta; Magnoliopsida; Fabales; Fabaceae
Source: Rfam
CCAUAAUUAAAUAUUGACCGUUAGUCACAUGUCAUGUUCUGAUUGGUCAAUAAAAACAACAAUUUUUUCUAUCUUUGAUGAAGUUGACAUCCAAUCAGAACAUGACAUGUGACAAUCAUCAUCC